Molecule: ribosomal RNA, 478 nt
Filed under: uncultured bacterium
Lineage: Bacteria
Description: partial 16S ribosomal RNA
Rfam family: Bacterial small subunit ribosomal RNA
Source: RNAcentral
GACGAACGCUGGCGGCGUGCUUAACACAUGCAAGUCGAACGGUAAGGCCCUUCGGGGUACACGAGUGGCGAACGGGUGAGUAACACGUGGGUGAUCUGCCCUGCACUUCGGGAUAAGCCUGGGAAACUGGGUCUAAUACCGGAUAGGACUCCGGACUGCAUGGUCUGGGGUGGAAAGCUUUUGCGGUGUGGGAUGGGCCCGCGGCCUAUCAGCUUGUUGGUGGGGUGAUGGCCUACCAAGGCGACGACGGGUAGCCGGCCUGAGAGGGUGACCGGCCACACUGGGACUGAGAGACGGCCCAGACUCCUGCGGGAGGCAGCAGUGGGGAAUAUUGCACAAUGGGCGCAAGCCUGAUGCAGCGACGCCGCGUGAGGGAUGACGGCCUUCGGGUUGUAAACCUCUUUCAGCAUCGACGAAGCGAAAGUGACGGUAGGUGCAGAAGAAGGACCGGCCAACUACGUGCCAACCGCCGCCGUAA